GACGAACCGUGCGAACGUUGUUCGGAAUCACUGGGCUUAAAGGGCGCGUAGGCGGGCUGACAAGUCUGGGGUGAAAUCCCGCGGCUCAACCGUGGAACUGCCUUAGAUACUGUCGGCCUCGAGGAAGGUAGGGGCAUGCGGAACUGUAGGUGGAGCGGUGAAAUGCGUAGAGAUCGGAAAGAACACCAACGGCGAAAGCACUCUGCUGGGCCGACACUGACACUGAGAGACGAAAGCUAGGGGAGCGAAUGGG
This 253-nucleotide ribosomal RNA is filed under the name uncultured bacterium. Its description in RNAcentral is "partial 16S ribosomal RNA". It matches the Rfam family "Bacterial small subunit ribosomal RNA", at positions 524 to 776 of the family's 1533-position model. The record is from RNAcentral.